CUACUGGAAACGGUGGCUAAUACCGCAUAAUGUCUACGGACCAAAGCAGGGGCUCUUCGGACCUUGCACUAUCGGAUGAACCCAUAUGGGAUUAGCUAGUAGGUGGGGUAAAGGCUCACCUAGGCGACGAUCUCUAGCUGGUCUGAGAGGAUGAUCAGCCACACUGGGACUGAGACACGGCCCAGACUCCUACGGGAGGCAGCAGUGGGGAAUAUUGCACAAUGGGCGCAAGCCUGAUGCAGCCAUGCCGCGUGUAUGAAGAAGGCCUUAGGGUUGUAAAGUACUUUCAGCGGGGAGGAA
RNAcentral lists this ribosomal RNA (300 nucleotides) under Proteus mirabilis. RNAcentral's name for it is "bacterial SSU rRNA". It matches the Rfam family "Bacterial small subunit ribosomal RNA", at positions 147 to 449 of the family's 1533-position model. The record is from RNAcentral. Lineage: Bacteria; Pseudomonadati; Pseudomonadota; Gammaproteobacteria; Enterobacterales; Morganellaceae.